ACGGGAGGCAGCAGUGGGGAAUAUUGCACAAUGGGGGAAACCCUGAUGCAGCGACGCCGCGUGAGUGAAGAAGUAUUUCGGUAUGUAAAGCUCUAUCAGCAGGGAAGAUAAUGACGGUACCUGACUAAGAAGCUCCGGCUAAAUACGUGCCAGCAGCCGCGGUAAUACGUAUGGAGCAAGCGUUAUCCGGAUUUACUGGGUGUAAAGGGAGCGCAGGCGGUCUGGCAAGUCUGAUGUGAAAACCCGGGGCUCAACCCCGGGACUGCAUUGGAAACUGUCAGACUAGAGUGUCGGAGGGGUAAGUGGAAUUCCUAGUGUAGCGGUGAAAUGCGUAGAUAUUAGGAGGAACACCAGUGGCGAAGGCGGCUUACUGGACGACAACUGACGCUGAGGCUCGAAAGCGUGGGGAGCAAACAGGAUUAGAUACCCUGGUA
This 434-nucleotide ribosomal RNA is filed under the name uncultured Lachnospiraceae bacterium. Its description in RNAcentral is "partial 16S ribosomal RNA". It matches the Rfam family "Bacterial small subunit ribosomal RNA", at positions 341 to 792 of the family's 1533-position model. The record is from RNAcentral. Lineage: Bacteria; Bacillati; Bacillota; Clostridia; Lachnospirales; Lachnospiraceae.